RNAcentral lists this long non-coding RNA (862 nucleotides) under Gallus gallus (chicken). Its description in RNAcentral is "long non-coding RNA NONGGAT009374". Lineage: Eukaryota; Metazoa; Chordata; Aves; Galliformes; Phasianidae. The record is from RNAcentral.
AAAAAGGCUUUUUGUCAGGGCAGCCCCUCGUGCUUUCGCCGUGAGGUCACUGGAGUUAGCGAAGCGUGGGGUGGUUUGUCCCGGCUCCGUGUUCCCGAUCCGUGCCGUGGCACUUUGGGAUGGAAAAGUACAGGCGGAUGAAAACGAGAGCUUUUAAUUCAUCUGGAGUUUGAGAAACAGUAACUUGCAGGAGCGGUUCUGAGGACAGCUGGGCAUUGAGCUGCGUGUUGGCGCAGCACAGUGAGCAAAGUGACCACCUCAAGCAGAUCUUUGGAAAGAACCAAGAAGGGAAGGUGCCACAGGCACUGUAUCCUCCAGUGUGAGGCGCUGAGUGGAGCAGUUACUGUCAUUUUGAACACACAUCCUGUCAAGACUGAAUCUUGUGUGGAACAAGCUCAUUUGUAGUCACGAGUACAGCCAGAGAACGAAGGAGAAGCAAGUGGCAAAGUCUCAAGACAACCAGGGAACAGAAGGGAGUGUUCAGCUGCUUGCAUUUAAGGCUGAAGCAGAAAAGCAGUUGCCCACAGUCUAAGAUACAAGAGCAUUCCUCCUCAUGUGUUGAGACACUCACCAUCUACACAGCAGUGCAACUCUUGGUUUUUAAGAGGUUUUUGUGUGGCCAAGGAAACUACGCAAAGGAGAGGGAAUCUAAAGUGGCAAUAUACAGCAGAUCACCAAUGGAUCAACACUCAGUUUACAAGACUUAGUUUUCUCAAAACUAUUUGUGUGCCCUUCAGAGUCAAGUUUUCUUGCAAAGAUGGGGGUGGAGGACAGUUCCAAUGCACAGUGAAAGAGCAGCGUGUGACAAAACCCCUAAUGAGGGAAUAAAGAUAAUUCGCACAAGGUUCAUUAUGGAAUGCUG